UAUCCACUGAGCCAUUCCACCUGAAAGAUACUUAAUAUUUUGUGAAUCUAUCUAUCUAUCUAUCUAUCUAUCUAUCUAUCUAUCUAUCUAUCUAUCUAUCUACCUACCUACCUACCUAUCUAUCUAUGUAUUUAUUAUCAGUGACUCGGAAUGUGCUUGGAGGGUGCAGAUGUGCAAUUGCACACAUGUGGAUCUGAAAGGAUAACUUGACAUAUUUGUUCUCUUCUUCCACAGUGGGGGAUCCAUGGAUAAACCUCAGGUUGCCAGGCCCGGUGGCAAGCUCCUUCAAUCAAUGAGCUAUCACACUUUCAGGCUCUUAUGGAGCUAGCCACGUAUUAGCGAGACCAGGUCCUAAAGAAUCAACACCCAGGUCCUCUCCACCAUCUCUCCAAGCUCCUGUUUCCUGUUUUUAAGGAACAAAUUAAAUUGUUCAGGGACAAGUGCUCCUGGUCUCUGUCUUCUCACCUAAAAUUUUUCUGGACUGCAGAGAAAGCUUCCAAGACACAGAGCCAGUUACCUCUUGUGCCAUCCACCUUGUUGCACUAACACUAAAUGAUUGUGUGCUGCGGUACAGGCAAGCGCGGGGUGGUGGCUCUCCUGAAGAGAUCAGCCUGGAAGGCAUGUGAACUUGUCAAAGACUGGGUGGAGUGACAAGAACACAGACCCUGAGCAGCCAGCCCGCUCCCCUCCCAUAGCGUGCAUGGAUUUCGUAAGUCAUCUGUUAUAAUCCCAAGCUCCACAUUAAGUAUUAUUGGUCACACAUAAGGAUCUUACUCAACAUGCCUGAAGCGAAGCGUUUUAAAAAAUGCACACAAGACAGAAGGAAUGAACCAAACUCAAAAUGUUGAGAAUGUCCGUCACACACUAAUGAGCCCAGGGUGAGCUGUUGUCAUUUCCCACAUUCCCCACCCCCCUGGUAAGAAGCCCACGGGAGCCGUACCUGUAUGUGUUCUCCGGUGUGCCUUCAGGUGAGAACUUUUUGUGUAUACUUUGUUGCACCCCUCGAAGUCACAUCUAUGGAUGCGCCUCUUCCUGGAAUCUGGAGAUUCUGAUCGUCUCUGGCGUCUUGUGCUCUCAAUGCUAAAUGGUGAGAUUGAACUGAAAAAAGAAGGAGUUGCAUUACACGAUGAGAAGCCCAGCCCUUGAUCUAGGGCCUUAAGCAGGCUAACAAAAUGGCGGUGGACUCGGUAGCCCCCAUGGGCUCCAUGAUCAUACCCACUGCUCUCAUCUCCUGGAUGUUUCUCAAUAGCUAAAGAAAGAAGUGUGGCUGUUUUGGUUUAAAGAGUUCUGGAGAAAGAGAAACAAUGUUUACAACAGCAAGCUAGGCGUGUAAUCGCAGCAUGUGAGCGGCUGAGGCAGGAGAAGCCAGAGCUGGACGCUAGUCUGGGGUACGUAAUUAAACCUGUUUCUAAACACCCAAACCCAAGCCAGUCUGAUGCAACCAAUUCCAAAAGCAAGUGGCAGCAGAGGCAGGCGAGAAGAUAGCCCUUGUCAGUGUUGAGGUAGAAGCUCAUUUCCGCAUGUCUGAAUAGUCUUUCCAAAGAAUGCCCUGGGAAGCCCCACUCUAGACAACGUCAAUACGAACUUAUUUAACGAGAGGGGUGACUGAACUGCACAGCGCACAGUUCAAAACAAUCCAGGUCAGGGUAAAAGAAUUGCUCUCGGUCCAUCAACACGGUAACUCACGGCAAGCAAUUUCUGUGCAGAGAAAUUGAUAUUUAACUUUCCUUCUUGGUGGUUUUUUUUUUUUUUCCUGGUGAUGAAUAAAGUCUUUAAAGAUUAGCUGUACUACUAUUACGAGAAGAAAAAAAAAAGACUUUAACUAUGAAGUUUGGCCUGGACUUGCGUGUUGUUUCAUUUUUAAUGCCCAGUAGAAAAACAGGAUUAGUUUGUAAUGUCAGGUAAUUCAUUUACAUGUACCUUUUCAAACCUUAAUCUCUUCUGAUUGAGACAGAAAGUGCAUGACUCAUCCUUUUAUUAGUUACCCAUGAAGUUCUCUGAAAUUACAAUGGAAUAUGACAAAGACACAGGCACCCCUGUUUCUACAAGACACAUUUACCAUGACCAACGUUUUGUCGUGUUUUUGGUUUGUUUUCCCUCCCGAUUCAGGUUUUAACCUGUUUUGAUGUUUUUGUUUUGAGGAGUCUUUAUGUGUUUGCUAUUAGCUAGUCUACAUGUUUUUAAACAUGAAAAUUCAUAUUAUUUGUGUGGGGGACGGCAAAUGAGACAGUGCCUGCUACUGAAUCUGCCAAUCUGAGCUGGGAGCAUACAGUCCACAUGGCGGAAGGGGAGAACCCACUCAUGCAUGUUUCCCUCUAGCUUCCAUGAUCCUGCCAUGGCACAGGCAUGUACGCUCAUACACCGACAUCACUCCUACCCCCUGUACACAAUAAAGGCAAACCAAAAAAGCCUUUUGAAUGGUAACUCAUCUCUUUUAAGGACUACACACAAAGAUGUCCUUUCCCCUUGUCCUUUGCCAUUGUUUCAGCCUUUCUCCUCCCCCCCAGGGAAAGCAGCUGCGGAUUUCUUUAGAUGUUUCUAAUGAAAACUGUUUUGCUACUAUGUAUCCGUGACACUGUGGUUCCAUAGGUUACAUAGGUCUCCUUACACACAGGUAUCUGCUGUGUGAUGAGCCCAUCUCCCUUAUAUCUGCCUCCUCUCAUGCCUCACUCUCCUACACACCUACGUUCAUGCCAUGUAUGCUUAAAUAUGUUACUGUAUGUAUAAUCUGAAAUCACAGGAAUUUAUAAUAUGACAGUGUGGUUUGAAACACUCUUAGUAAUGCUAUGCCAAGGUCAUAGCGUUGCAAAGUCUUCUGUCUUCACCCCAAACCCACCACCUUCUAAGCAUUAAGCAUCUGAGUUCAAUCUGCUAUGUAAUUGCUCAAGUAUGGAUUAUGGAAGUGGUUCAUCCUGCAUGUUAAAAUGCCAUCACUUAAGUGACAAACAGGGGCUGUUUCUGAUGCCACACUAUUCUCUUACUUCAGCCAACUGUUUACAACAUCUCCUUCUGGCCUAUCCCUGUUUGUUUGUUUGUUUGUUUGUUUGUUUAUUUAUUUAUUUAUUUUUUGUAGUAUAUUUUCAUAUCUACAAAUAGCAGAACAAGCAGUCAAAGCUUCAGAGAAGGUAAGAUCAAACGUAAAUGCCAUUCAUCAAGCCCCCAGCAGUUUGAUGUGAGAUCUGCGUUGGAGUGAAAGAACGUAGGCCAUGCUGCUGGCUGAGUCACGUUUUAAAGCCUUCGUUAUCAAUCAUCAUGGAUCUGUGGUUUUCCAUGUCACUGACUCAGUUGCUGGGACAGGAGUCUAUUGUGAAAAGAGUCAAAACAACACGAAAGAACAGCUCGAGUUAGUCCUCAGAGUGAUUCCAGCCCUGAGUGGGAUUCCUGUGAACAACAAGACAGUGUGUGCCCAGACGCGGUGAGAGCGAUUAAUUUCUUGAGUGUGUGACCAUGUAAAUAAAUAUAGAUUUUGGCCCAAGGAGCCUUAUAAAAGCAAGUCCUUUAUUGUGCUGUAUGAUGUUUGGCAUCUUUCACAAAUCAAGACAAUGAUGGUAUUUGUUUCCAUUAAGUUGAAAUGUAAGGUCUAUAACAAGAACACCAUUUUGUACACUAUUUUCUACACAUUAACAGAUGAAUAGUAAUGGCAACCCGUAUAAACCCAGC
Non-coding RNA from Rattus norvegicus (Norway rat), 3660 nucleotides. The record is from RefSeq and is a predicted model, not a curated record. NCBI's taxonomy places the organism in Eukaryota, Metazoa, Chordata, Mammalia, Rodentia, Muridae.